UUUGUGCGCGGAGGGCGUCGCGCGGGUGUUGCUCUACACGGCAUGGUGCCGGCGGGUUUGCCAGGGUUUUCGUGACCGCCGUGCCGGGGUCCCUGCACCGCCAGGGGCAAUUCGGCACCCCAAAUCCCCGUGUUUGGGAGCUGGGAUGCAUCAACAGUGGUUUGCGCUCGGGGGAAAGGCUCUGGCUCCGCUCCCCGCACCCGCUCGUGCCCCCUUUGCCGUCGCCUCGCUCCCUGCAGCCCUGGGCUUUUCUUCUUAAAACUCGCGAUAAUCUGAAGUAACUGGAUUAACCUCCCAUCCUCCCCCUGCGGGCAGCCAGGCUGGAGACCUGCCACCGCCGGGGAGGUGACAGAGCCUCACGAGGCCACCAGCGAAGCCACGGCACUCGCAGCCCUCCGCCGGGUUUGCAGCGCGGGUAGGAGCAUCCGCGGUUCGGCAUCCCCCGAAAGCCGGACCAGCUCUCCCGGCCAUAGCACCCCUUUCUGCUGUAAUAGGAGCUGGAGCUGUCCGGAAGAAUGUCUACAAUGCAGAAAGGGCAAAAAAGGAUGGAAAAUUCCCUACUCAAAGCUACAGCAAAAUCUCAUCUGGCUCCUUCCUCAUCAUCCCAUGCGUUAUUUAAUGUUAAUAAUAAUAAACAGCGUGCAACAUUUGUCGGGGGGAUGUUUUUAGGUUGGUUUUUUUUUGCAGCUUGCCUAUCUGUUGCUGCAGCUUUGCUGUUUGCAGCAGCAUCGCUCCCCAGGAGAUGAGGGUGUUUCACAGUGUUUGAAAAAUCAGGGGGUUUGGAAACACGAGGAGAUGUUUAAAACCGUUCUCGUGGUUGUGACAACGCAAAAUAUGAGUGUUAUGUUAUCCCGGCUCUCCGACAAUGAGUUAUGGGAUGUUUCAUUGUGUUUUACUAUACACAUCUAUAUACGUACGCGCCUGUGUUUGUGUAACGCUGGCCGGUGCAGGAGGCGGCCGACGCUCCGGCUCUGGCUGGGAUCCACCCGUCACUCGCAUCGGUUGGGAUCCCAUUUGCUGACAUGGUCUCACUCCCGAUUUGGUAUCUGUGAGGGGGAAAUGGGUCUAACAUCAUUGUUUCCACUCGAUGAAAGCACUCGCAAAGGGAGAGUUCCUUAUUUAAACAGGUCCAGAAACUUGCUGGGAAGAAAUCACUUUCCCAAUUUAUCAAGACAAAUUAUUUUUCGGUGGUAUUCAAAACCUCAGCCUUCUUCCCUUCGUAAAUAGGGCUACCACAUGUUUUUGUUCUUGGUUAAACAAGGCGUAGCCUCAAACUUGAGGCCCAAGAGGAGGGCGAAAAAAGGAAAAAAAGGAAAAAAAAAAGAAAAAAAAGGAGACUUGUUUCACUGCCGUCGGCGGGAGCAGGGUGGGAGCGCGCGGUCCAGCCCACGGCUCCGCUCGGCACCAUCCGGAUAAAUCCAUUUCCCUUCCGGUAUUGUCGGGUCUGACCGACCAUCUGCAGAAGUUGAUGCAAUGCAUCUAUAUUUUAGAUACUCUCUAUUUAUUCGAAGUAACUUAUGUUAUUUAUUUAGAUACCAUAGUGUGCCAUCUACGUAAUGCGUUCUUUCUCUCUCUCUUUUUUUUUUUAUUUUAUUUAUUGAUCCAAAUGGUGCCAAGUGCAGUUUACAUUUAUUACAUUUUUACCAUUUAUUCUGAACGUUGGGAUAAAAAAAAUGCAGUAUGAUAUUAUUUUUUUUAAACAAACAUAAACUCGGGUGUGAUGCUGUUACAUACUCACGACAAAGUGAAAAUAAAAUGAGGAUUAUAUUGA
This is a long non-coding RNA of Aquila chrysaetos chrysaetos, 1771 nucleotides long. RefSeq lists it as uncharacterized. The transcript is spliced from 2 exons. The record is from RefSeq and is a predicted model, not a curated record. Lineage: Eukaryota; Metazoa; Chordata; Aves; Accipitriformes; Accipitridae.